RNAcentral lists this long non-coding RNA (553 nucleotides) under Nicotiana benthamiana. Its description in RNAcentral is "long non-coding RNA (NBEN_LNC024549)". Lineage: Eukaryota; Viridiplantae; Streptophyta; Magnoliopsida; Solanales; Solanaceae. The record is from RNAcentral.
GAGUUUGAUACGGCUGUGCGCCAUGAUACUGAGUUUGAUACGGCUGUACGCCAUGAUGUUGAAUUUGAUAUGGCCAUGCGCCAUGGUAAUGAGUUUGAUACGACUGUGCGCCUUGAUGUUGAGUUUGAUACGGCUGUUCGCCAUGAUGUUAGGGCAUUGUGUAUGCCUUUGUAUAUCAUCCGAGCAUUGUGUGUGCUCUGUUACAUAUUUGAGGCAUUAUGGUGCCAUUGUAGACUCGUGGUGCGUUGGUAAAUUUCUUUCACUACAAUUAUGAUAAGUCCUUAGUGGGUAUCCUUGUUUGUUAAUUCUUAAUAACUCUGUUGAUACACAAAUGUUGAGUAAUUGUAUAAUUUUCAUAUUUACUAUAUCAUUCGUGUUGUGGUGUGUUUGUAUUUUCCAACACUGUUCUAGCGGUAUUUAAAGUGGCGGGUCGAGGAUCUUAUUGGGUUAUAUUUACAUAUAACUCACUCCUUAUCCGCAUGUCUAUGCAGAUACCAUUGAUGAAGACGAAGCUAAUUACUGACAAGUUCGCUGGAGUUUGCUCAGUUAUUGA